RNAcentral lists this unclassified non-coding RNA (248 nucleotides) under uncultured fungus. RNAcentral describes it as "partial contains 5.8S ribosomal RNA, internal transcribed spacer 2, and large subunit ribosomal RNA". Lineage: Eukaryota; Fungi. RNAcentral also lists the same sequence under 1 other name. The record is from RNAcentral.
AACGCACAUUGCGCCCCUUGGUAUUCCAUGGGGCAUGCCUGUUCGAGCGUCAUUUGUACCCUCAAGCUUUGCUUGGUGUUGGGUGUUUGUCUCUUCCCUUGCGGGGAGACUCGCCUUAAAGUAAUUGGCAGCCAGUGUUUUGGUAGUAAGCGCAGCACAUUUUGCGUCUUGGUCCCUAAAAUAAUGGCAACCAUAAGCUCUUUUUCACGUUUGACCUCGGAUCAGGUAGGGAUACCCGCUGAACUUAA